This 1326-nucleotide long non-coding RNA is filed under the name Struthio camelus australis. RNAcentral describes it as "lncRNA (ENSSCUG00000013589.1)". Lineage: Eukaryota; Metazoa; Chordata; Aves; Struthioniformes; Struthionidae. The record is from RNAcentral.
AUGGCAUUUGUUGCUCCUCCUUUUUUGCUUUGUGUGCAACUUUGCUUACUGCAUUUUUACCUUGGCUUUACGUUUGGCUCCUCCGCAAAGCUGAGCGUGUGUAAGAGAGAGAAUAGCCUGCUGUGGAAGGAUGCACUGCUGCAGAGACAGGCAUUUGUUUUUUGCUGCAAGAUAUCCUUUAUAAAUUCAGACAGACGGCAAAUAUUUAACGAGGAGCCAGAAAAUCAGGAAAGCCAUUCACAAAGCUGUAAGAGGAGCCGUAAAUUCGAUUGAACUGCAAAGAUAAUAACUAGGAAAGUGCAUGUUUGCUUCAGUCUCCGUAUUUGCCGAAUGCUUCUAUCUGCGCAUCGGAGCAACUGGCCUUCCCUCCUAGCCCGUCGUAUAUCUGCUGCGGCACCGGGUCAGCGGCUUGCUGAGGAAGUCGCAGCCCUUUCUCGGGGUGAAAUCAGUUCUGCGUCUUCAAAGGACACACGUCUUUCAGAGAUGGCUGAGGAUGGAAGAAGCUGUCUAGAUCGAACGCCUGGGGCUAGGUCCUGAGGCACCCGGAGCCGGCAGAGCCAAGGUGAUCUCUGCGAACGGACGCCAGCAGGGCACGGACGGCUCCGCUUCGUAGAUCGGGCAGCUGAACCCAUCCGGAAGAACCUGCCAAAGACAUCAGGAGGGAGCCGUGUCCUAAGCAACGUCCCUUUUCGCUCCCAGCCAGGAGAACGUCUGCUGGGACAGAUGUCCCCCGCGUCCUCUUGAUGCUCACCACGCUUUGAAGACGUAGAAACGCCUGCCGUGAGCGAUCGCCCUCUUACCGCCUCGGGGGGGGGACGCAUCCCAGAAACGCGCAGGUGUCGGGAGCUGACGUGCUGCCUGCCGAGCUGACGUACGGCUGUCCCGCCAGCGCUCGUGUUUUGGGACAGGAAUCCAAGCAAAAAAACGCGCUUAAGGCACGGCGAUGUACUGCCGCAAUCAGGUGCAUCUGCGGUGCGGCCGCAGAGAUCCACGCUGACCUCCUCUUUACCCACGGGUCGCCGUUCCCCACGUAGAAAUCCCUUUUUCCGUUGGAGAGUGCAAGAUAAACGGAUGUAUCGUGUCCUUUUGCAUCUUCAGAGGAGACCAGCCUGUCGGGCUAGUUCUCAAAACUGCAGCUUAGCAAGUGAAAAUCCAAUAUUAAACUGUUCAUGACAUCAGAAUUGUUGACAUCCUCUCAAGCUUACUCAUUUUCUCUCUCUCUUUUUUUUUUUUUUUUCCUUCCUUAAAGGCCACGCUUUAUCCAAUGUUGGGUCACCCAUGGCAGCCAAUCUUAACGCCAAAUAAAUGGAAAAACAGAGAAUAACA